This 253-nucleotide ribosomal RNA is filed under the name uncultured bacterium. RNAcentral describes it as "partial 16S ribosomal RNA". It matches the Rfam family "Bacterial small subunit ribosomal RNA", at positions 524 to 776 of the family's 1533-position model. The record is from RNAcentral.
UACAGGGGGGGCAAGCGUUGUUCGGAAUUACUGGGCGUAAAGGGCCAGUAGGCGGCCAACUAAGUCACACGUGAAAUCCCCAGGCUUAACCUGGGAACUGCGUGUGAUACUGGAUGGCUUGAAUUCGGGAGAGGGAUGCAGAAUUCCAGGUGUAGCGGUGAAAUGCGUAGAUAUCUGGAGGAACACCAGCGGCGAAGGCGGCGCUCUGGGCCGGAACUGACGCUGAGGAGCGAAAGCGUGGGUAGCAAACAGG